GGGACCUACACCACAGCUCACGGCAACGCCAGAUCCUUAACCCAUGGAGCAAGGCCAGGGACCGAACCCGCAACCUCACGGUUCCUAGUCGGAUUUGUUAACCACUGAGCCACGACGGGAACUCUGAGACACCCAGUUUUCAUCCUGGGGUUGUGGGCAAAUUUUCUACCAAUGUGGCAUGCUCUCAGUAUUUUUAUUUAUUUUUUAAAUGGAAAAAAUAGAUCUGGUUUUCCUUUCGAUUUAAAUCUGCUGUUCCCCAUAUGGACGGGGAACUCCUAUCUAGGUUUGAUUAAUGAGCAAUAAAGAUGGUUGGCAAUAAAUCUUUGCCUGUGAUUCUUCUUCAUAUAGAAGAAAACUGACUUGGAGCCAGGCUACCAGCAGGGAAUAAAUGCCCUUUCCUGUUCCCUUUAUUCAGAGAUAAGUCUUGGAUUGAUGCCACUUCUGUAAAAGGAAUCAGACACAGUUCAUGACGGAAGAGAGAAGAGGGAAGUGGCAGCCUGCAUCCUGCCGCAGGGCCGAGAGGAAAAAGCCGGCCUGAUGCCCCCUGGCAGGGACUUCGGAAGAGAACCUGGGGCUGGCCAUGUCGUUUAGGGGUAUGCUAGUUGGCAUGGGGACUAUCAUUGAAACCACUGGGAUACCCCACGGCAUGCUAGAAACCAGGUGAAAGAAUGCAGCCUCAUAUUCCCAUGGCUCUAUUUUAUUUUCAUGACAUAGACGCCACCUCGAGACGCAUCUGCCCAUGAUUUAGAAGGGACAAGAGAGACCAGUUCUGCUCCCAAGUACAGUCGUGGAAGGGUUUGGACUGCCUCUGCCCAUGCAAAUGUUGUCUCGCCUGGCUGACUGCUGGCUUGAUGGAUACGGAUAGGCGAGGUGCAAGGCGUCGUUUCUGCAUUCUUGACUUCCUUCCUCCACAGGAGCUAAUGAAUCCAGUGCUUAGAAAAGAGCCUGACAUGGAGGCAGAAGGUACCAAGUGUUGGGGGAGAAGACGACCCGAGCUCUCCUGCUUGAGCAGCUCUUCACUAACGGUCUGAAGGCGACCCUCAAAUGCAAUGAGGUGAUGAGGUACUGACGCACGGGGUUUGCAGCAGGCAUCUGAUUGUUCUGCCCAGUGUCGCUGCCGACACAAGAUGGGAUUCUUUCCUGUGGUAAUGUUCUUUUUUUAAAAGCGAGUCCAGAGAUGAACAUUAUUGCGUUCCAAGACCAUUUAGUUCUAGGGUGAAGAGGGGUCUGGUUUUAUGCCACCAUGUUUUCCUCUUCAAAUCUGUAGUGAGAGUCAUUCACGUUAUUAUGUUGUAAAGUGGCCUUUUCAUGAGUUGUAAUCAGUAUUCGAAUUCAUCAGAAUUUUACAUGUCAUGUAAAGCAGGAAUGUAUAUGUAUGUUUAUUCCAAUAUUUAAAUGAUUCAAGAAAAUAUUGACAAAUAUUUUUGGCUUCUCCAUUUAAAUAGGGAAUCAGAGGUGUCAGAAUUGUGGUGUCAUAUUUGCUAGACUCUUGGGACCUCAUUAAAUGUGUAAUUAUAAGGUGAUAAUUGUAGUCUUCAGUCUGACUGAACUGGGAAUAUAUUGUGAGUAAAGUUUCCAUUUUAUGAAGAGAGAUGAACAAGAAAGUCAGGAAGUGUAUAAUCAAGGGUGCAAUGUAGGUUAUGGAUUUGAUAUUAAAUUCUUACUAUUUUAUGAACAACUUUCAAUUUGCGUACACUCUCAAUUAACCAUGAGUCAUCAGUAUUGACGGACAGAAAAUUUAGAGUCAUUUAAAAAUCUGUAAGUGUUUACUGAAGUGAGUCUCUAGGCUGUGGCCAUUUCAAAUACCCACUCAAAAAUCCAGAUGCUGUGCAGUUGCUAAAGUACAGUUAUGUUAGACUCCACACUUCCCUCUUCCAGCUGGGACCAUUCUACAGGUCCGAAUGCUUUUGAAGCUAUAAAUGCAUGAGGAUGAAAUUCUUAAAAACAAACUUUUGUUCUAGAACAUAACAGUUCUGACAUGGACUGGCCUUCCUUGGAGAAUUGGGGUGGCUAGUAAUUCAAUGUUAUCUCUAUGUGACCCAAUUUGGAGUAGAACAGAUCAUUUUGUAAGGCAGAUGAAAAACAAUAGUAUUUAUUGAGCAUUACCUUGACUAGGUCAAGGGGCCAUGCUGAAUGCUAUUUCGAAAGCUCUGGUCAAUUUAAAAUACUUUGAUGAAAAUUUAGAACUAAGAGGAUAGCAAUGUCCUUUUUACUUCAGCGAUUUAACGCAGUAAGAUUCCUAGGUAUAAUUAGCUAAUGUAAAUGUAAUUCCUAGUUAAGAUUUAAGAAUGCCUGCCUAACACCUUAAGUCGAUUAACUUUGAAAAUGUAAAACUGUUUCUCCACUAUUUAUUAAAUUAUUUGAUAUUAAGUGUUGGAUUCUAUCUAAUUCUGUUGAUAAAACUUUAAGGUAGCUAGAGGUUGAGAAAUAAUUAUUUUAUGGAUAUUUCACAUUUAUCUUUUGGAUUUUCCUGACAUAAGUACAUCAUUUUUGUGUUACCAUGUCUCAACUUUUCUAAAAAAAGUUUUAGCCUUGACCCGGGGUUCAUUUUCUUUUACAUUAUUUUCUUUUUUUUUAACUUUUUGAGGCAACUCUUGGCUUUGUGGAGGAAUACCAGAGAUAAAUUCAUCAAUAAGCAAAUGUUUCCCUUUUUAACUUUUUAAGUUAUUUUACACAUUAUUUUACUUUUAAUCUUUUCUGAUCUGUUUGACAAAAUUUAGCUGUUGCUUACAUGUCAGCAGUAGACACUGUUUAUACGUCUUUUGGUUUCUCAUAAAUAAUUGUGAUAAUUUAUUGAGGUGCUUGCACAUCACAUAUAUAAAAUAUUUUGUGAUUUUAUGUGUCUUAAUGUGUUCUGACUUUGCUAUAAAAUAUCUUUAACUUUUAUGAUCAGCUAUUCCAGUGUGUCUUGUAACACUCAAUAGCCAUACAUAAAACAUCUGAUGAUUAUGCUGUUUGAAAUCUAGCUUCAAAGAUGGCAAUUUAAAUAAUUAGGAAAUUGGCAAAAUAUUUUUCUUGCAAGUCACUUAAUUUUUUUCGCCAAACCACUAAAACACAUUUCUGCAAAGUACUAUAAUUGAUGCCACCAACACACACCAGGUGUCACUUCUGAUUCUAUUAGAACCAAGAUUCCAGUUAAGUCACUGUGAUAAAAUAUCCUUAUGUGCAGAUUCUGUGCAGUGCAAUGUUUAGUUUGAUAGAAUGAGACAAAUGAUAUCAGUGUAUUGUCUAUUAGACCUGACGUACAAUAAAUCAGAUGAAAGCUUAGCCA
This 3271-nucleotide long non-coding RNA is filed under the name Sus scrofa (pig). Its description in RNAcentral is "lncRNA (ENSSSCG00050054610.1)". The record is from RNAcentral. Lineage: Eukaryota; Metazoa; Chordata; Mammalia; Artiodactyla; Suidae.